This is a long non-coding RNA of Nicotiana tabacum (common tobacco), 753 nucleotides long. RefSeq lists it as uncharacterized. The record is from RefSeq and is a predicted model, not a curated record. NCBI's taxonomy places the organism in Eukaryota, Viridiplantae, Streptophyta, Magnoliopsida, Solanales, Solanaceae.
CGCCGUUAAUACCCUUUAGCAGCGACUCCUAGGUAUUUGUCGCCACAAUAAAGGUGAUAUCUUGUAGUGAAUUUGGCCACGUCCAGUUGAUGACUUGCAAUUUCGCCCGAACUGGGUGGGAGGGAGUUGUUUUAAUUUCAAGCUGGCCCAAUGCUCUUGACCACUCGAGCAGAAGAAAAAAAAGAUCUAUAGCUUAGAGAAAGGUUGUAGAGAUGAAGGAAGUAUGUAACGUAUUCAAGGAGAGAUUAUUUUAUGAAGAUGUAGGAAAGGGGCACUUUCUCAAAGGUGCAAGGGUCCCAACAAUCUGAUAAAUACAUGAUUUAUCAGUCUAGCUGUUAUUGAUGUUGGUAACUAAGGAAACUGUGUAAAUCAUAGUGCAACGGAAAGUUGCCAAUUGACAUCAAGCAUAUUCGACUAUCGAAUUGUCAAUUCUUGCAAGUAGCAAAUUUCCCUGCUGAUUAGAGAGUAAGGAAGCACUUAUUUUGGAGCGAUUCCCAACUGCUUAACAUGCAUAGCUGAUAGUAAAGAAAGUUUCAAGUAGAUUUGGCCUUAAUGAAGGGGAGCCUUGGAUGAAGGGGAGCCUUGGAACAACGGUAAAGUUGUUUCCAUGUGAUCCUCUAGGUCACGAGUUCGAGCCGUGGAAACAAUCAUUAAUGUUUGUACUCCCUCCAUUUCAAAUUUAUGUAAACCUGUUUGACUGGACAUGGAGUUAAAAAAAAUGAAGACUUUUGGAAUUUGUGGUCCUAAACAAAU